This 274-nucleotide ribosomal RNA is filed under the name uncultured bacterium. Its description in RNAcentral is "partial 16S ribosomal RNA". It matches the Rfam family "Bacterial small subunit ribosomal RNA", at positions 523 to 796 of the family's 1533-position model. The record is from RNAcentral.
AGACAGAGGGUGCGAACGUUGCUCGGAAUUACUGGGCGUAAAGCGCGUGUAGGCGGACUUGUAAGUCGAUUGUGAAAGCCCUGGGCUCAACCCAGGAACUGCAUUCGGAACUACAAGUCUUGAGUGGUGGAGAGGGAAGCGGAAUUCCCGGUGUAGAGGUGAAAUUCGUAGAUAUCGGGAGGAACACCAGCGGCGAAGGCGGCUUCCUGGACACCAACUGACGCUGAGACGCGAAAGCGUGGGGAGCAAACAGGAUUAGAAACCCGAGUAGUCC